This 73-nucleotide transfer RNA is filed under the name Bacillus cereus. RNAcentral describes it as "tRNA-Arg". It matches the Rfam family "tRNA". Rfam says of the family: Transfer RNA (tRNA) molecules are approximately 80 nucleotides in length. Their secondary structure includes four short double-helical elements and three loops (D, anti-codon, and T loops). Further hydrogen bonds mediate the characteristic L-shaped molecular structure. tRNAs have two regions of fundamental functional importance: the anti-codon, which is responsible for specific mRNA codon recognition, and the 3' end, to which the tRNAs corresponding amino acid is attached (by aminoacyl-tRNA synthetases). tRNAs cope with the degeneracy of the genetic code in two manners: having more than one tRNA (with a specific anti-codon) for a particular amino acid; and 'wobble' base-pairing, i.e. permitting non-standard base-pairing at the 3rd anti-codon position. The record is from RNAcentral. Lineage: Bacteria; Bacillati; Bacillota; Bacilli; Caryophanales; Bacillaceae. RNAcentral also lists the same sequence under 4 other names.
GCUUCAUUAACUCAGAGGAUAGAGUAUCCGUUUCCUAAACGGAUUGUCGAAGGUUCGAACCCUUCAUGGAGCA